GACGAUGUAGAAUUUUUAACGUGACACAGAAUUCUGAACGCUCUCAUUCAUAAUGCGAAGGUCGUAGGUUCGACUCCUAUUAUCGCACCA
Molecule: transfer RNA, 90 nt
Filed under: Salmonella enterica subsp. enterica
Lineage: Bacteria; Pseudomonadati; Pseudomonadota; Gammaproteobacteria; Enterobacterales; Enterobacteriaceae
Also listed under: 2 other names
Description: tRNA-OTHER
Source: RNAcentral